GACGAACGCUGGCGGCACGCUUAACACAUGCAAGUCGAACGAGAGAAGAGAAGCUUGCUUUUCUGAUCUAGUGGCGGACGGGUGAGUAACACGUGAGCAAUCUGCCUUUCAGAGGGGGAUACCGAUUGGAAACGAUCGUUAAUACCGCAUAACAUAAUUGAACCGCAUGAUUUGAUUAUCAAAGAUUUAUCGCUGAAAGAUGAGCUCGCGUCUGAUUAGCUAGUUGGUAAGGUAACGGCUUACCAAGGCGACGAUCAGUAGCCGGACUGAGAGGUUGAUCGGCCACAUUGGGACUGAGACACGGCCCAGACUCCUACGGGAGGCAGCAGUGGGGAAUAUUGCACAAUGGAGGAAACUCUGAUGCAGCGAUGCCGCGUGAGGGAAGAAGGUUUUAGGAUUGUAAACCUUUGUCUUCAGGGACGAAAAAAGACGGUACCUGAGGAGGAAGCUCCGGCUAACUACGUG
This 465-nucleotide ribosomal RNA is filed under the name uncultured bacterium. RNAcentral's name for it is "partial 16S ribosomal RNA". It matches the Rfam family "Bacterial small subunit ribosomal RNA", at positions 28 to 507 of the family's 1533-position model. The record is from RNAcentral.